Molecule: RNA transcript, 3698 nt
Organism: Gadus chalcogrammus (walleye pollock)
Lineage: Eukaryota; Metazoa; Chordata; Actinopteri; Gadiformes; Gadidae
Gene name: heterogeneous nuclear ribonucleoprotein R-like
Exons: 13
Source: RefSeq, a predicted model, not a curated record
GUGGUGGCGAUGAUCGCCGAGCGGUGGCGUUGUUCGAGCGACGACGGCGCUGUCUGGAAAUCUGUCUCGUGGGCAGACCCACACGUAUUAUUGAUAUUACCUAUUUGAUAACAUCUCACGCAUCAAGAAUUUCAUAUUUAAUUCCACGGUGGUGUUAAUUUUCUAUAAGAUAUAGAAUGGCCACUGCUGAGGUGAACGGCAGUUCUGCCCUAGCAAAGGAGGAGGAUGAACCGAUGGACGUGUCGACCACGCACACGGAGAAUUACCAGACGUUACUGGACGCCGGUCUCCCUCUGAAAGUAGCGGAAAGCCUGGAUAACAUUUUCCAGACAGGCUUGGUAGCGUACGAGGACCUGGAUGAACGGGCGAUCGACGCGUUGCGGGAGUUCAACGAGGAAGGGGCCCUCACGGUGCUGCUGCAGUUCAAAGAAAGUGACUUGUCCCAUGUUCAGAACAAAAGUGCUUUCCUCUGUGGUGUCAUGAAGACGUAUAGGCAGAGGGAAAAGCAAGGAAGCAAAGUACAAGAAUCCACCAAGGGCCCUGACGAGACCAAAAUCAAGGCUCUGCUGGAUCGAACUGGAUACACAUUGGAUGUGACCACGGGGCAAAGGAAAUACGGGGGACCCCCACCACCCCAGGUCUUCACGGGGUGCCAGCCCGGCGUUGGCACGGAGGUGUUUGUGGGAAAGAUCCCCAGAGACCUGUACGAGGACGAGCUGGUGCCCCUCUUUGAGACGGCCGGGCCCAUCUGGGAUCUCAGGUUAAUGAUGGACCCCCUGUCUGGCCAGAACCGCGGCUACGCCUUCAUCACCUACUGCAACAAGGACGACGCGCAGGAGGCUGUGAAACUCUGUGAUAACUAUGAGAUCCGGCCAGGGAAGUACUUGGGAGUGUGCAUAUCGGUGGCAAACAAUCGGCUGUUUGUAGGAUCCAUUCCAAAGAACAAGACGAGAGAGAGCAUAUUGGAGGACUUUGGCAAAGUCACAGAGGGUCUCCAGGAGGUGAUCCUGUACCACCAGCCGGACGACAAGAAGAAGAACCGCGGCUUCUGCUUCCUGGAGUACGAGGACCACAAGUCGGCCGCCCAGGCCCGCCGCCGCCUCAUGAGCGGCAAGGUGAAGGUGUGGGGGAACCCCGUCACGGUGGAGUGGGCCGACCCCGUGGCCGAGCCCGACCCGGAUGUCAUGGCCAAGGUGAAGGUGCUGUUUGUGAGGAAACUAGCCACGCCGGUCACUGAGGAGCUCCUGGAGAAGACCUUCUCUCAGUUUGGCAAGCUGGAGCGUGUGAAGAAGCUCAAAGACUACGCGUUCGUCCACUUUGAGGAGCGGGACUCUGCAGUGAAGGCGAUGGAGGAGAUGAAUGGGAAGGAGCUGGGCGGGGAGGAGAUUGAGAUAGUCCUGGCCAAACCCCCAGACAAGAAGAGGAAGGAGAGGCAGGCGGCCCGCCAGACCACCAGGAACACAGGGUAUGACGACUACUACUACUACCCCCCGCCCCGCAUGCCCCCCCCAGGCCGGGGCCGGGGCCGCGGCGGCCGAGGGGGCUACGCCUACCCGCCCGACUACUACGGCUACGAAGACUACUACGACGACUACUACGGGGGCUACGACUACCACGACUACCGCGGCGGCUACGAGGACCCCUACUACGGCUACGACGACAUGUACAGCAUGAGGGGCCGGGGGUCGCGUCCCGGCCGGGCGGGGCCGCCGCCGCCCAGGGCCCGGGGGGCCCCUCCCACGCGGGGCCGGGGGGGCUACGCACAGCGGGGGCCCCCCAUCGGAGGGCCCCGGGGCGGCAGAGGAGGCCGCGGGGCCCCCUUCCAGCCGCAGAGGGGCCGCGGCCCCCGUGGCGCCAGGGGCAACCGCGGCGGUAACGUGGGCGGGAAGAGGAAGGCGGACGUGUUCAACCAGCCCGACUCGAAGCGCCGGCAGACCAACAACCAGCAGAACUGGGGGUCCCAGCCCAUCGCCCAGCAGCCCCUGCAGCAGGGUGCCGACUAUUCCGGUGGAGCAUCAUUGAGAGUGCGGCACGGCUAGCGUGAGGAACUCCCCUGAGCGGUACUCGAGGGUGAGCUCGCCUUGCACAGAGUACCUUCUCCUCCUCACCCUGCUGCUUACUCUUUAAUCACUGGCUGUGAACAACAAAACAACUAGCAGACGCCAUUGUUCCUCUACUAACGAUUCAGCGUCUAGCGUUGUUUCAGCGAUUUCGGUUGGGUCAUGAGGUCGGAUCCGACAACAGAAAGCGGACGGGCGGGGAUUUGGGUAGGGACGCGAUACCCUAGCAAUAAUAAUUUGGAGAACUGCCCUAGUCAUCCAGCUUACAAAGGAGCAAAAUAUCCAUGGCCUGUUUUCACCACUAGGUGUAGCAAUGGGGCACAGUGCAGCAAAGACAGUCCCGUUCUGUGAUCCCAGUGAUGGCUUAGUUAUGGAGAUGGUUACUACAAUUGUGCGUUGGAUUGUGAAUAAUUCAACAUAUUUUAAAUUAUUCUACUUGUAGUGGGGUUAAUUCAUUCAGACGUGAGACGGUGCCUCAAAAGAUGUUUUAAUCUGUACAGCCACUAGAUGGCACUAGGUGGCUAAAAUAAGGGGUGUGUCUGUGAGAGAAUGAGAUGCAGGAUGGAUGGAUGGAUGUCGUGACUCCUGUAAAAAUCCUGGCAUUAAGCAAUGUGGAAGUAUGAAGCCUCACAUGCCAUUACAAGUAUCAAACUACCAAACCAAACUAAGUUAUUCUGUCAAAAGUAAUUCAAUUAGAUUUGUGUCUUUAUAUGUUGCCUCUUGUUACCAGACAGUAUGGAGGCUGCCCUAGAUCCAUGUGAAUGACUCAGAGUUCACAAGAGUGGAACACAUUAACUGGUAAGGUAUUUGCUAUCUAAGCUUUAACAUGUGAAAAUUUCCAUUGUUUUUGACCUAUGUUGUUUUUAAAUCUUAAAUGUACGGAUAUAAACACAUUAAAUCGAGUUACUUUAAACAAUAUUCCUCGUCAGACCUUACACAAUGCAAUGAAGAUGACUGUCCCAAGAUGGGUUGUAUAAAUACUCACUGUGUGCCCUCUGCUUUUAGGAACAGCUUGACUACGGAUGACAUGUGACCCGGGAGACUUAUGAGUGCAAUACGAACUCCGGGUCCCAGACGUCCAUGAGUCCCUGUAGGCGGUCGGACACUUAGUGUUCAGGCUUUGUUUGCAGCAUUCCAACACAAGAUAUGAUCAUGCACUCCUCCUGACUGCAGUUACCAGCGGAGGGCAGCAAGGACCGUCAUGUGGAUGGACCGAAGGCUGCGUGUGACAGGGGAAGGAGGAGGAGGCUGGACCCUGAUAUUCCACCACCAGAACACACACACAAACACCACCCUGUACGCUGAUUGGAAGGAUCACGAAGACGGAUGACCUCGGCAGCAAUAGUUGUAGGCCGGGUGUAAUUUUAGCUAUUCCUCGAAGCUAAACAAAUAAAGCAAUAAGGAGCUUGAUAAUUGUGCAGUAAGGGUGUUCUCUUCGAGUAUUUCCAUUCAUUUUGAUACGCAUAACUUUUGAGAUGUCGUGGUUGUUUUGUAUGGGCCACAUGAGAUAUUUGUCUGGGUUAGGGUUAAGGAUUAGGAGCAAUACCCACAUAUUUUAUAUCAAGUGCCAUCCGCAAUUCUAGUUCAAUUUGGAAGUAACUGACAUUAGUAUUAUAAUUAAAAUACAAAUGGGUGGAG